RNAcentral lists this ribosomal RNA (253 nucleotides) under uncultured bacterium. Its description in RNAcentral is "partial 16S ribosomal RNA". It matches the Rfam family "Bacterial small subunit ribosomal RNA", at positions 524 to 776 of the family's 1533-position model. The record is from RNAcentral.
UACAGAGGGGGCAAGCGUUGUUCGGAAUUACUGGGCGUAAAGGGCGCGUAGGCGGCCUUCUAAGUCGAACGUGAAAUCCCCGGGCUCAACCCGGGAACUGCGUCCGAGACUGAAAGGCUCGAAUCCGGGAGAGGGAUGUGGAAUUCCAGGUGUAGCGGUGAAAUGCGUAGAUAUCUGGAGGAACACCGGUGGCGAAGGCGGCAUCCUGGACCGGUAUUGACGCUGAGGCGCGAAAGCCAGGGGAGCAAACGGG